This 222-nucleotide ribosomal RNA is filed under the name Staphylococcus agnetis. RNAcentral describes it as "partial 23S ribosomal RNA". It matches the Rfam family "Bacterial large subunit ribosomal RNA", at positions 237 to 454 of the family's 2925-position model. The record is from RNAcentral. Lineage: Bacteria; Bacillati; Bacillota; Bacilli; Caryophanales; Staphylococcaceae.
CCCUGAGUAGCGGCGAGCGAAACGGGAAGAGCCCAAACCAACAAGCUUGCUUGUUGGGGUUGUAGGACACUCUGUACGGAGUUACAAAGGAAUACGUUAGACGAAUAACCUGGAAAGGUUAAUCAUAGAAGGUAAUAAUCCUGUAGUCGAAAACGUAUACCCUCCUGAGUGGAUCCUGAGUACGGCGGAGCACGUGAAAUUCCGUCGGAAUCUGGGAGGACC